GCAUUUAUGAGGUUUCUCUGCAGUGAGGAUUCUCUGUCCCGUGAGAAGACCUGAUCGCCAAGUUUUCCCACAGCGAACGCGCGUGUGAGGUCUCUCCCCAGUGUGCGCCCCUCCAGUGUGUGAUCAGACUUGGUUCCUGAAAGAUUUCCCUCUAGUGUGGAGCCUCUGGCGUUGAGAAACCUGUGAGCAAUUCCUGAAGGCUUUUCCACGCUCCCAUUUAUAUGGUUUCCCCAAGAGAACAAAUUCUGACGUCAGUGAGGUGCGUUCUGCCUCGAGUAUUUUCCACAGUCAAUGUGCAGAAGGGAAGACAUGCCUGAAUCCAGCCGCAGGGUCUGGACAGGGUUUGCGGUGGAGAAGCCAAGCCCAAGUGAUCUUGCGUGCGGCCCAGUGUCUCUGCUGCUUCUGCACCUAAAGAUGUUUUGCAGACCAUCUACAGUCUGACAUUGGGGUGCAUGAAGCUUUAUCUCACAAAAGCUACCCAACAAUGGGUCAGUAGUCAAGGUGUUGCGUGGACAUCCUACACUCCCCACCAUCCUCAGCAUCUGAGUCCCAAGGGCUGGGACGGCCUCCUCCAGAUCAUCCUGACCUCCCUUACCUCCUCCUGGCCCACAGACCUUGGUAAGACAUCCUGGUUGCUAAACGUGGCUGUUCCCUGAAAGUGUUCGUCUCCUCCUGCUCAGCCAUCUCUUGGGUAACAAUCAGGAUGAAAGGAAGGCUUUCUAGACUUGUUUUGAAAAUUAAAGAUUCUGUCCUGACCAUUUCUGGGUUUGACACUUCUCUCCCUCCCCCCGCCCCCCACUGCAUGGCUACCCCGGGGCCAGCCUGGUGGUAGCCAAAAGGGAGCCUAGGGAAUUCCAAUCCUCUGGGUACAGCCCAGCCAAAAGGGAGCUUAG
Mustela erminea (ermine) is the source of this 893-nucleotide long non-coding RNA. RefSeq lists it as uncharacterized. NCBI's taxonomy places the organism in Eukaryota, Metazoa, Chordata, Mammalia, Carnivora, Mustelidae. The record is from RefSeq and is a predicted model, not a curated record. The transcript has 3 exons.